CCUACGGGUGGCAGCAGUGGGGAAUAUUGGGCAAUGGAGGCAACUCUGACCCAGCAACGCCGCGUGAAUGAUGAAGGUCUUCGGAUUGUAAAGUUCUGUGAUGGGGGAUGAACACAAUGACGGUACCCCAAUAGCAAGCCACGGCUAACGACGGGCCAGCAGCCGCGGUAUUACGUAGGUGGCAAGCGUUAUCCGGAAUGACUGGGCGUAAAGGGUGCGUUGGUGGUUUGGUAAGGUGGCGGGGUAAUUCCGGGGCCCAACCUCGGCGCUGCCGCCCAAACUCUUAGACUAGAGUGCAGGAGGGGUAAGUGGAAUGCCUGGUGUAGCGGUGAAAUGCGUAGAUAUUAGGAGGAACAUCAGGGGCGAAGGCGACUUACUGGACUGUAACUGACACUGAGGCACGAAAGCGUGGGGAGCAAACAGGAUUAGAUACCCCAGUAGUC
RNAcentral lists this ribosomal RNA (443 nucleotides) under uncultured bacterium. Its description in RNAcentral is "partial 16S ribosomal RNA". It matches the Rfam family "Bacterial small subunit ribosomal RNA", at positions 338 to 795 of the family's 1533-position model. The record is from RNAcentral.